This is a long non-coding RNA of Nyctereutes procyonoides (raccoon dog), 4156 nucleotides long. RefSeq lists it as uncharacterized. The record is from RefSeq and is a predicted model, not a curated record. The transcript has 3 exons. NCBI's taxonomy places the organism in Eukaryota, Metazoa, Chordata, Mammalia, Carnivora, Canidae.
GCUGCCCUGGGGUUCAGUCCUGUGUGGUGCCAGGGGCCCCUCCCAGACUGGCCAAAGGCAGCCUGCACACCCCAGGAGGAGGGGACCCGAGGGUGGGCGGGCAGUUCAGAAGAGAUGGUACUUUCUGAGAACUUUGAGCUUCAUGCUUUGUGUUCUUACUCGAUUCUCACAACCAGGCCAGAGACUGAUGCCAUCAUAACCCUCACAGUUCUGAAAACUGAGGCUCAGGGGAGGUGAGGCAACCUGGUGUCACCUGAUUAACAACUGGCAGUGCUUUACUUUUCAAACAAGAAUGGCCUGUCUGUCCUUUGCUUUCCUGUCUCUGGCCUCUGCAUAGGCUACGGCCUCGGUCUCGAGGGCCCGGCUCCUCUUACCUCCACCUGAGAAGGAGACACUCAUCAGCACUCACCACCUGGUUACAGGGCUGCUGGGAAGGCUGGUGGUGUCUGCGUGUUCAGCUGGCAUCAUCAUGCCCUCCUGGUGGCAUUUGUCCAGUGUGGACCCUCUUUCUAGGGAGGGCUUGUCCUCUCUCCUUACGAGGCUGUGAGCUACUCUGGGAUUGGACCAUAUCCCAUCUGACUCUGUCAAUCCAUGCACCUGCGUGCUGGCACUGACCUUCGUCCUUCUAUCCACCCAACUGUGCUCAGCCAUCCGUUUGUCCACCCAUCCACCCGUUGUCCGUCCAUCCCAUCCAUCCAUCCUCCAACCUUACGUCUCUCUUUCCAUGUUUUAGUAUCUAACGGGUGCACACUUUCAGUUUAGCAAGAUGAAAAGAGCUCUGGAGACGGACAGCAAUGAUGGUAGCACAACAGUGUGACUGUAUUUCAUGCCACCGAACUACACUCAUAAAAAUGGUUACAGUGACACAUUUCAUGUCAUGUAUAUUUUGCCACAAUUAAAAAUAAGUUGAUUAACUUAGAAAACUAUCUGGGGAGGCUGCCGUCAUAUCCUUUCUGCAGUACACCACGCCCUCCCCACCUGCUCCAAACCAAAAUCUUGGUGGAGCUCUACCUGGAGUCCUGCCUCCCCCCAACCUCACCAGCAGGUGACUCCAGCCCUCUCCAGCUCUCCCGCCUCCGGAUUCGCCAGGUGCUCACACUCACUAUUCACAAGAUCAUGAUGACAACGCCAGCCACCACACAGUGAGAGUGUCCUUUGGUUCAGUGUUCUCUAACUGCUUUGUGUGGACUGCUGCAUGCACCCCCCCCCCCCAUGUGAGCUACGUACUGCCAUUUAUCUCAUUCUAAAGCUGAGGAAGCUGAGGCCCGGGCAAGUUCAGUGACUUGCCUGAGCUCCCUCAGCUAGUAGGGUAAAGGGGCAGGACUCUGGCCCAGCACUGAUGACAGGUGUCCUUAAAGCUACUAGGUGCUGCUCCCCACAAAUCACAUCUACUUAUUUACCGUCCCCCCCCCACCUCCACCAGGCUUUGGGCUCAAGGUGGGGGCUCUGUAUUCAUGCUCACAUUACCUGCUCCUGACCCAGCAUGGAUGCCAAGGUGGGGCUUUGUAACUCAGCGCCAGGGCCUGAGUGAGGGGCGGUCCCCUCCAGGGCAAAAUUGCAGGGGGUAUCAAAAAUCUCAAUGUAAGGGAAAAAAAAAAGUCAGUGUAAGGGAAAUUCUAUUUUAAUGCAAUCUUUUAAGAUACCAAAUUUAAUGCAAAAAAAAAAAAACCUAUGAUGAGCAAAAUAUCAAAAUUUUAAAUAAAGGUAAGAUCUAAUCCUGCAGGAUCCUGCCUCACCUGCUUACCUUAAUCCCAAUGCUUUUUUCCUAACUGCCUGGGGUGCCCAGUUAAGAUGGAACUGUGGCCGGGCAUGUUUUGGGGAAAUCACUGACCCCGUUUGUUCUAAUGAGUAGUCCUUCCCUUCUGCUGUGAACCGUGUGGCGGGAACCACGUGCAGUGAGGCAGUGGAGCAAGGACCCUGAAGUCAGUCUUGGCUUGGCAGCCUAUUUCCGGGCCUCCGUAGCUGUGUGACCUCGGGCAAAUCGCUUAACCUUUCUGUGCCUCAAUUUCCUCCCCCGUAAAUGGUGUGUCUAAUGGUACCAACUUUGUAGUGCAGCCCCGAAAAUUAAAUGAGAUAAAGCGUGUGAAGAGCUCAACACAGCCACUGACCCUUAGCUAACGACAAAGGGCAGGCUCUGGUGAAAAUGAUCCAACCGAUUCCUCCACGCAGGAAAAGGAAAAGUAAGUGUAACGUGAAUCUGUGUCAGCAGGCAUCAGAAAGCCAUCAGCUUUUGUUUUUCCUUUUCCUUUUUCCCCAUUGACAUCCCCUGACCACGCGGGGAGCUGGCAGGUGCAGGGGCCAGCGGAGACGCACGGCCAGGCUGCAGGGGGGACAGACGGGCAGACGGGAAAGCGGCGCCCAGCUGCCUCCCUGCCUCGGCCUUGCGUGUUUCUACUAUGACUUCGGCAGGAGGCGAUCCCGGUCCUCCAGAGGCCUGCUCCGUCCACGUUGCUGUGCCCUGGGUGGAGAAGUGCUGGGGAGAACGAACUGUUUGAGCCCUCCGUGCUGCCAGGAGCGCACAAGAGUGAGAUGGUGGUGGCCGGUGGGCAGCACACCUGGAAGGGCCGCCUGUGCAUCCCGGCCUAGCGGUGGCCACAGAACGUGUUGCCCGUUUUAACGUCUGUGCACUAAACCGUCAGAUGUGAGCGCGUAGACGAGAUUUUAUUUUUGAUGAGAGAGAGAGAGAGAGAGAAGCAGACUCCACAGUGAGGAGGGAACCUGACACCCGGCUGAUCCCAGGACCCCGGGAUCAUGACCUGAGCAGAGGGCAGACACCUAACCGACUGAGCCACCCAGGCGCCCUUCCAUCAGGUUAAUUAAAUGUGCCGGUUCGACUUACCCUCAGUACAGCAACAGAGAAUGACCUGGCCUGACACGUCCGUCAUGCUGAGUGAGGGGUCCCUGGGGAGCCCGGCUCUGAUGGCCUGGCACUGAAUGAAGCUCGGAUUUGUUUUGUCCCAAAGCACCUGUGUUACUUUCCUGUGGCUGCUGUAGCCAAGUUACUGCAACCUGGGUGGCUGAAAACCACAGACGUUCAUUUCCUCCUAGUUCUGGAAGCCAGAAGUCCAAAAUCAAGACGUGGGCGAGAGCACGCUCCUUCCAGAGGCUCCGGGGGAGAUCCCAUCCUUGCCUCCUCCAGCUCCGGUGCAGCCAGCGCUCCAGCCUCUGCUCCCGGCCUCACGGCAACUUCUCUUGGUCUCAAUCUCCCUCAGCUUUUCUCUGAAGGACACCUGUCACUGGGUUUAGGGCCCACCCGGGCCCUCUAGAUUAUCUCCUCAUUUUCAGACCCUUUAAUGUAAUCUGGUCUGCAAGACCCUUUUUCCAAGUAAGGUUAUAUCACAGGUUUGGGGGAUUUGAUGUGGAUAACUUUCAGUCUAUUAUCUGUCCUUGAACAUGGACCCAUCCUGUCCUUCCACAGCUAUUAUUAAUAUUUCAUCUUCACGGUGACCCUUCAAGGAGUACAUUUUACCCCCUGGGGCACUGAGGGUCAGAGAGGUUGUGUUAACUCUCUGGGAAGAGUCAGCACCGCCAAGGUCCAGAUUUGGUCUCUGGCUUUAAAGCUCUUGCUCUCACCCUUAAACUUGCUCCAUGAACCCCCCCCCACCCACCCACCCAUCUGGGCUCAGAGAUGCCCGUACUCUGAGGCGCAGUUGGUGGCCAGCGGGCAUCCUAUCUGGGUGACAUGAGUCGUCAGCAGGCUUUUCAGGGGAAUAACUGGGGAUGCUGGGCAGAGCAAGCCUCAGGAUCAGCAGCCGCCUCUGGGGGCGGAGGGGAGAGCAGGCCACCUCGUCCCGGGGACUUUGCCAUGAGAGUCAGGCGCAGGCCAAGCACAGCCUUUCAAUCAAGGUGAUGCAGGUGAGCCCCUCCUCCCCUCCCCCAGCCACCUGCUUCCCCAGGGCUACUUCCAAAGCUUCCCCUCCCCCCAGCUCUCAGGUAGGAAAAUAUGUGCCAGCAUGCUGCGGGGUGGGAGGGGAAGGAUGACAGGAAGGGGCUUGUCUGGCCCUGGUCAGUGUUUGAGGGGGUGGAUGGCACCGGUUCCGGGGCACAGGCGUGAGCCCCACCCUCCACCCUUUGUAGUAAAAGUUCCACCAAACACCACAGAGAUGAAUGGGAGCCACUGGGUAUUACAUCAUUUAAUAAUCUGAAUAAAAUUCGU